AGCACCGCAGGUGCUGAUGCCUCGGUGAAGAUGCCAAAGCUACAUAACAUAAAGCUACUAAUAAUUUUGCUGCAUGCAAAAACUCACAGAGUGGGUAAUGAUCGACCAUUAUUAUUAUUAAAACGAUCUAUGCCAAAAGUUCAAGUCUAAAAUAAAUGGCUGCAUUAGCAGAGCCUUGCAGCUCUCUUCUCACUCUUGCAGCUACCAAUAGCUAGCGUUUUAGUGCAGAGCUAACUACUAAGUAGAGUAGCAACACUCGGUAAAAACAAGUUUGGCUACGUGCUCUUCUGAAAAGGCUGCAAUGGCAUUCCAAGUAAGCAAAACUAGGUAGAGUAAGUAACCCAUCUUCGCCAGGCACCUAUAAUCGGCGGCUAUUGCACGAAGCACAAGACAAUUUUGCACAAAACUAACUACAUGGAUCUACAGAUGGGUAAGAAAGUAACAGCUCCCCAAAAUUUGGAAAGAAUAACUUGCUUGCGGACGGAAUGGUGGUCAUGAGAAGUGAGCUGCCGAAUGUAUCGAUAAUCGUCAGUGAGACACUUAUCUCCGUCUUUGCACGCUUACCAAGCACUGAAACUACCAACACUAAACAAUGCUUCUUGGCACAACUCUAACUAGUGAGCACUACUUGCAGGCAAAGCAGCGUUAGCUGCAGAUCGAGCCCCACCCAGCUAGGCAUGACGAAAAUUUUGCAGAAAAUAAUGCUGAUUCAGCAAUAAUUGUGCACAUUCAGCAAUAAUUGUGGCAAAUUAAACUGGGAUUAGCCUCGAUUUCAGGCCGCCCUUAAGAUAUGUGCACAAUUAUUGCUGAAUCAGCACUAUUUUUUGCAAAAUUUUCGUCAUGCCUAGCUGGGUGGGGCUCGAUCUGCAGCUAACGCUGCUUUGCCUGCAAGUAGUGCUCACUAGUUAGAGUUGUGCCAAGAAGCAUUGUUUAGUGUUGGUAGUUUCAGUGCUUGGUAAGCGUGCAAAGACGGAGAUAAAUGUCUCACUGACGAUUAUCGAUACAUUCGGCAGCUCAUUUCUCAUGACCACCAUUCCCUCCGCAAGCAAGUUAUUCUUUCUAAAUUUUGGGGAGCUGUUACUUUCUUACCCAUCUGUAGAUCCAUGUAGUUAGUUUUGUGCAAAAUUGUCUUGUGCUUCGUGCAAUAGCCGCCGAUUAUAGGUGUCUGGCGAAGAUAGGUUACUUACUCUAGCUAGCUAGCUACAUGUAGUUCUAGCAACUCUUCAAUCUAUGGUUCUAGUGAGGCAGAGCUCAUGUCAAUGAUUCUUCCAGAGACUAGACUCAUGCAUAUAGAUCUACACUAUACUGUGGACUAGACUCAUCUACUUGUAAGAAGGUAGUACUGUACUGUAUGUAGGUGGCUGUUGAUUAUGUCAAGAAUUGCCAGCAUGAACUCGUGAGCAUCUUCUUGGUUUAUACCUGUUUGGAGCGUGGUAUGACUAUCCUAUAUAGCCGAAUGUCUUUGUCUAUCGCUAUAUAGGGUUGGACAGAAGGGUUAUGGCUGCCAGUGAUGCAUCUCAAUAAAAAACUGAGAGUUUUCAGCUGAGAGUUUCCAGAGGAAGAAACGUGGGAUACAUGCAGCCUCACUAUAACAUGAUAACUUUUCACUUCACUUCACUUCCCUGAACAUAAUUUCUGUUACAAGUUUUACAUCAAAUGUGCAUUAAUAGUCUCUGUACCAUGACUGGUAUAAUCAAUGAAACU
This is a long non-coding RNA of Halichondria panicea, 1704 nucleotides long. RefSeq lists it as uncharacterized. The record is from RefSeq and is a predicted model, not a curated record. The transcript is spliced from 3 exons. NCBI's taxonomy places the organism in Eukaryota, Metazoa, Porifera, Demospongiae, Suberitida, Halichondriidae.